AACGAACGCUGGCGGCAGGGCCUAACACAUGCAAGUCGAACGCUCCCUUCCGGGGAGAGUGGCAGACGGGUGAGUAACGCGUGGGAACCUACCUAGUGGUACGGAAUAGCUCAGGGAAACUUGGGAUAAUACCGUAUACGCCCUGAGGGGGAAAGAUUUAUCGCCAUUAGAUGGGCCCGCGUUGGAUUAGCUUGUUGGUGGGGUAACGGCCCACCAAGGCGACGAUCCAUAGCUGGUCUGAGAGGAUGAUCAGCCACACUGGGACUGAGACACGGCCCAGACUCCUACGGGAGGCAGCAGUGGGGAAUAUUGGACAAUGGGGGCAACCCUGAUCCAGCCAUGCCGCGUGAGUGACGAAGGUCUUCGGAUUGUAAAACUCUUUUAGCAGGGACGAUAAUGACGGUACCUGCAGAAUAAGCCCCGGCUAACUUCGUG
This 435-nucleotide ribosomal RNA is filed under the name uncultured bacterium. RNAcentral describes it as "bacterial SSU rRNA". It matches the Rfam family "Bacterial small subunit ribosomal RNA", at positions 29 to 507 of the family's 1533-position model. The record is from RNAcentral.